AUCUCCUACGGGGCGCAGCAGUGGGGGAUAUUGCACAAUGGAGGGAACUCUGAUGCAGCGACGCCGCGUGAGGGAAGAAGGUUUUCGGAUUGUAAACCUCUGUCUUCGGUGACGAAACGAGACGGUAGCCGAGGAGGAAGCCACGGCUAACUACGUGCCGGCAGCCGCGGUAAUACGUAGGUGGCAAGCGUUGUCCGGAAUUACUGGGUGUAAAGGGAGCGUAGGCGGGAAAGCAAGUUGAAUGUUUAAGGUACGGGCUCAACCUGUACACGCCUUCAACACUGUUUUUCUUGGUUGGAGUAGGG
RNAcentral lists this ribosomal RNA (305 nucleotides) under uncultured bacterium. RNAcentral's name for it is "bacterial SSU rRNA". It matches the Rfam family "Bacterial small subunit ribosomal RNA", at positions 334 to 656 of the family's 1533-position model. The record is from RNAcentral.